Protopterus annectens (West African lungfish) is the source of this 200-nucleotide long non-coding RNA. RefSeq lists it as uncharacterized. The transcript is spliced from 3 exons. The record is from RefSeq and is a predicted model, not a curated record. NCBI's taxonomy places the organism in Eukaryota, Metazoa, Chordata, Ceratodontiformes, Protopteridae.
CUGCCCUUUAAAGUUUAUGAAAAGGUGACUCCUUCGUGAACAAGCCCCAUAGUACAUUGUAUAGAAAGGGACAAACCUCCCUGCUGAAACUAGUGGAAGACGCUGCCCUUUAAAGUUUAUGAAAAGGUGACUCCUUCGUGAACAAGCCCCAUAGUACAUUGUAUAGAAAGGGACAAACCUCCCUGCUGAAACUAGUGGAA